AGCGGCAGACGGGUGAGUAACGCGUGGGAAUCUACCCAGCUCUACGGAACAACUCCGGGAAACUGGAGCUAAUACCGUAUACGUCCUUCGGGAGAAAGAUUUAUCGGAGUUGGAUGAGCCCGCGUUGGAUUAGCUAGUUGGUGGGGUAAUGGCCUACCAAGGCGACGAUCCAUAGCUGGUCUGAGAGGAUGAUCAGCCACACUGGGACUGAGACACGGCCCAGACUCCUACGGGAGGCAGCAGUGGGGAAUAUUGGACAAUGGGCGAAAGCCUGAUCCAGCCAUGCCGCGUGAGUGAUGAAGGCCCUAGGGUUGUAAAGCUCUUUCACCGGUGAAGAUAAUGACGGUAACCGGAGAAGAAGCCCCGGCUAACUUCGUGCCAGCAGCCGCGGUAAUACGAAGGGGGCUAGCGUUGUUCGGAAUUACUGGGCGUAAAGCGCACGUAGGCGGACUAUUAAGU
RNAcentral lists this ribosomal RNA (459 nucleotides) under Mesorhizobium sp. RNAcentral's name for it is "bacterial SSU rRNA". It matches the Rfam family "Bacterial small subunit ribosomal RNA", at positions 94 to 588 of the family's 1533-position model. Lineage: Bacteria; Pseudomonadati; Pseudomonadota; Alphaproteobacteria; Hyphomicrobiales; Phyllobacteriaceae. The record is from RNAcentral.